This 1403-nucleotide ribosomal RNA is filed under the name Salmonella enterica subsp. enterica serovar Kentucky. Its description in RNAcentral is "partial 23S ribosomal RNA". It matches the Rfam family "Bacterial large subunit ribosomal RNA", at positions 911 to 2215 of the family's 2925-position model. The record is from RNAcentral. Lineage: Bacteria; Pseudomonadati; Pseudomonadota; Gammaproteobacteria; Enterobacterales; Enterobacteriaceae.
UGUUUCGGCUAGGGGGCCAUCCCGGCUUACCAACCCGAUGCAAACUGCGAAUACCGGAGAAUGUUAUCACGGGAGACACACGGCGGGUGCUAACGUCCGUCGUGAAGAGGGAAACAACCCAGACCGCCAGCUAAGGUCCCAAAGUCAUGGUUAAGUGGGAAACGAUGUGGGAAGGCCCAGACAGCCAGGAUGUUGGCUUAGAAGCAGCCAUCAUUUAAAGAAAGCGUAAUAGCUCACUGGUCGAGUCGGCCUGCGCGGAAGAUGUAACGGGGCUAAACCAUGCACCGAAGCUGCGGCAGCGAACGUAUCACUUAAAGCGAUUCAGCGGGUUACGAUUGACGGAGCGAAGCGACGUCAAAGCGUAUACAAAGUCGAGUCGGUUUAAGGAUACGUUCGUUGGGUAGGGGAGCGUUCUGUAAGCCUGUGAAGGUGGCCUGUGAGGGUUGCUGGAGGUAUCAGAAGUGCGAAUGCUGACAUAAGUAACGAUAAAGCGGGUGAAAAGCCCGCUCGCCGGAAGACCAAGGGUUCCUGUCCAACGUUAAUCGGGGCAGGGUGAGUCGACCCCUAAGGCGAGGCCGAAAGGCGUAGUCGAUGGGAAACGGGUUAAUAUUCCCGUACUUGGUGUUACUGCGAAGGGGGGACGGAGAAGGCUAUGUUGGCCGGGCGACGGUUGUCCCGGUUUAAGCGUGUAGGCUGGUUUUCCAGGCAAAUCCGGAAAAUCAAGGCUGAGGCGUGAUGACGAGGCACUACGGUGCUGAAGCAACAAAUGCCCUGCUUCCAGGAAAAGCCUCUAAGCAUCAGGUAACAUCAAAUCGUACCCCAAACCGACACAGGUGGUCAGGUAGAGAAUACCAAGGCGCUUGAGAGAACUCGGGUGAAGGAACUAGGCAAAAUGGUGCCGUAACUUCGGGAGAAGGCACGCUGACACGUAGGUGAAGUGAUUUACUCAUGGAGCUGAAGUCAGUCGAAGAUACCAGCUGGCUGCAACUGUUUAUUAAAAACACAGCACUGUGCAAACACGAAAGUGGACGUAUACGGUGUGACGCCUGCCCGGUGCCGGAAGGUUAAUUGAUGGGGUCAGCGCAAGCGAAGCUCCUGAUCGAAGCCCCGGUAAACGGCGGCCGUAACUAUAACGGUCCUAAGGUAGCGAAAUUCCUUGUCGGGUAAGUUCCGACCUGCACGAAUGGCGUAAUGAUGGCCAGGCUGUCUCCACCCGAGACUCAGUGAAAUUGAACUCGCUGUGAAGAUGCAGUGUACCCGCGGCAAGACGGAAAGACCCCGUGAACCUUUACUAUAGCUUGACACUGAACAUUGAGCCUUGAUGUGUAGGAUAGGUGGGAGGCUUUGAAGUGUGGACGCCAGUCUGCAUGGAGCCGACCUUGAAAUACCACCCUUUAAUGUUU